GAUGAACGCUGGCGGCGUGCUUAACACAUGCAAGUCGAACGGAAAGGCCCAAGCUUGCUUGGGUACUCGAGUGGCGAACGGGUGAGUAACACGUGGGUGAUCUGCCCUGCACUUCGGGAUAAGCCUGGGAAACUGGGUCUAAUACCGGAUAGGACGAUGGUUUGGAUGCCAUUGUGGAAAGUUUUUUCGGUGUGGGAUGAGCUCGCGGCCUAUCAGCUUGUUGGUGGGGUAAUGGCCUACCAAGGCGUCGACGGGUAGCCGGCCUGAGAGGGUGUACGGCCACAUUGGGACUGAGAGACGGCCCAGACUCCUACGGGAGGCAGCAGUGGGGAAUAUUGCACAAUGGGCGCAAGCCUGAUGCAGCGACGCCGCGUGGGGGAUGACGGCCUUCGGGUUGGAAACUCCUUUCGCUAGGGACGAAGCGUUUUGUGACGGUACCUGGAGAAGAAGCACCGGCUAACUACGUG
Molecule: ribosomal RNA, 467 nt
Filed under: uncultured bacterium
Lineage: Bacteria
Description: partial 16S ribosomal RNA
Rfam family: Bacterial small subunit ribosomal RNA
Source: RNAcentral